GGACUACCCGGGUUUCUAAUCCCGUUUGCUCCCCUAGCUUUCGCGCCUCAGCGUCAGAAGAGGUCCAGCGUGCCGCCUUCGCCACCGGAGUUCCUAUUGAUAUCAACGCAUUUCACCGCUCCACCAAUAGUUCCGCACGCCCCUACCUCCCUCGAGACAUCCAGUAUCCACGGCAGUUCGACAGUUAAGCUGCCGGAUUUCACCACAGACUAGAAUGCCCGCCUACGCGCCCUUUAAGCCCAGUGAUUCCGAAUAACGUUUGCUCGGUUCGUCUUACCGCGGCUGCUGGCAC
Molecule: ribosomal RNA, 292 nt
Filed under: uncultured Planctomycetota bacterium
Lineage: Bacteria; Pseudomonadati; Planctomycetota
Description: uncultured planctomycete partial 16S ribosomal RNA
Source: RNAcentral